UUGAUGCUUGCAUCAGAUGACGAGUGGCGCACGGGUGAGUAACGCGUAUACAAUCUGCCUUUUACAGGGGGAUAGCCUUUAGAAAUGAAGAUUAAUAUCCCAUAGUAAGUUGUUAUUGCAUGAUAGUAACUUUAAAGUUUCGGCGGUAAAAGAUGAGUAUGCGUUCUAUUAGCUAGAUGGUGUGGUAACGGCACACCAUGGCGACGAUAGAUAGGGGCCCUGAGAGGGGGAUCCCCCACACUGGUACUGAGACACGGACCAGACUCCUACGGGAGGCAGCAGUGAGGAAUAUUGGACAAUGGGCGAGAGCCUGAUCCAGCCAUGCCGCGUGCAGGAAGACUGCCCUAUGGGUUGUAAACUGCUUUUAUACAGGAAGAAACCUUUUCACGUGUGAAAAGCUGACGGUACUG
This 410-nucleotide ribosomal RNA is filed under the name marine sediment bacterium BB0608_2216_8.2_4S0. RNAcentral describes it as "bacterial SSU rRNA". It matches the Rfam family "Bacterial small subunit ribosomal RNA", at positions 73 to 480 of the family's 1533-position model. The record is from RNAcentral.